UACGUAGGGGGCAAGCGUUAUCCGGAUUUACUGGGUGUAAAGGGAGCGUAGACGGCUUUGCAAGCCAGAUGUGAAAGCCCGGGGCUCAACCCCGGGACUGCAUUUGGAACUGUGUGGCUAGAGUGUCGGAGAGGCAGGCGGAAUUCCUAGUGUAGCGAUGAAAUGCGUAGAUAUUAGGAGGAACAUCAGUGGCGAAGGCGGCCUGCUGGACGAUGACUGACGUUGAGGCUCGAAAGCGUGGGGAGCAAACAGG
RNAcentral lists this ribosomal RNA (253 nucleotides) under uncultured bacterium. RNAcentral's name for it is "partial 16S ribosomal RNA". It matches the Rfam family "Bacterial small subunit ribosomal RNA", at positions 524 to 776 of the family's 1533-position model. The record is from RNAcentral.